GCAAAUUCUAAGGUCAUUUUCUUGUUGUGUUUUGAUGUUUUCCAUUGGCUGAAGACUAAGAUGAGCCUGAAGAGGAGAUUUGGGAAGUCUUUGCUUUGCCAGAUCACCUGUGGUCGGGAUGUCUGCUAACAAGAUGCCUUGUUGGUCUGGGCGAGUUUGAAGUCUCUCACAGACAGUCCAGAAGGUCUGGAGUCCAUCUUAGCUUUUAUUGAUGCUGUCAUCAGAUUUUAAGUACAGUAUGAGCCAGAAUGGAAGGGUGUUGGUGGCCAUAAGAAGACUGUGAGCUAAACCUACAACAAAAUUCAUAUUUGCAGUUUUCCUAGAAUAUUUUUUUCUAUUCAGAUGAAUAAAAUUACUUUAAAAUAUUAUUUUGUUUUCAUAUUUUAUGUUUUUAUUCUGUAUUUGGAAUAUUCCACUUCUGCACUACUAACUGGAAACCUAACUGUUUGAAAGAAUUUGUUUUUAUCUAUAAAAGAUCAAUUUUAA
Paramisgurnus dabryanus is the source of this 486-nucleotide long non-coding RNA. RefSeq lists it as uncharacterized. Lineage: Eukaryota; Metazoa; Chordata; Actinopteri; Cypriniformes; Cobitidae. The record is from RefSeq and is a predicted model, not a curated record.